RNAcentral lists this long non-coding RNA (472 nucleotides) under Cricetulus griseus (Chinese hamster). RNAcentral's name for it is "lncRNA (ENSCGRG00015036300.1)". The record is from RNAcentral. Lineage: Eukaryota; Metazoa; Chordata; Mammalia; Rodentia; Cricetidae.
CCAUGAGAAGCCUCUUUUUGAGUUGUUGGUCAAGUUGUCCACAAGUCUCUCAAAAUGUUACAGGCUAUUGCUAUUUCCCUUGUCUGCUCCCCGGAGGUGAAAGGUUGGCCAGGAACUUGUUCUCCAUUUCCAGAAGCUUCCCAAGUUCUCAUACCCCCGGAUCUCCAAAGUCAACAGAGGGGUUUCUACAAGUAAUUUCCAGAAUGUGAAUACAUGAUGCCUGUCAGUUUCAAGGUUCUAAGUUCUCAUACUGAAGGUCUGGAUGCUAGCCAACAGUGUUAUUUCUAAUGUGGCUUCUUUUUGGAUAUGGUAACCAUAUGCACAGGCCAACACUAGAUCAAGAGAAAGGCCCCAGACCAAAGAAAGCACAAUCCAAAUGGAUCAAGAACAGCAAAAUGAGAGAAUAGAUGUGUUCUCAAAGGCCAUAUUGCUAUCUGUGCAUUGUGCAUUGUGGAGCUACUCUGAAAUAAAC